RNAcentral lists this ribosomal RNA (1139 nucleotides) under uncultured bacterium. RNAcentral's name for it is "bacterial SSU rRNA". It matches the Rfam family "Bacterial small subunit ribosomal RNA", at positions 267 to 1399 of the family's 1533-position model. The record is from RNAcentral.
ACCUAGGCGACGAUCCCUAGCUGGUCUGAGAGAAUGACCAGCCACACUGAAACUGAGACACGGUCCAGACUCCUUCGGGAGGCAGCAGUGGGGAAUAUUGCACAAUGGGCGCAAGCCUGAUGCAGCCAUGCCGCGUGUAUGAAGAAGGCCUUCGGGUUGUAAAGUACUUUCAGCGGGGAGGAAGGGAGUAAAGUUAAUACCUUUGCUCAUUGACGUUACCCGCAGAAGAAGCACCGGCUAACUCCGUGCCAGCAGCCGCGGUAAUACGGAGGGUGCAAGCGUUAAUCGGAAUUACUGGGCGUAAAGCGCACGCAGGCGGUUUGUUAAGUCAGAUGUGAAAUCCCCGGGCUCAACCUGGGAACUGCAUCUGAUACUGGCAAGCUUGAGUCUCGUAGAGGGGGGUAGAAUUCCAGGUGUAGCGGUGAAAUGCGUAGAGAUCUGGAGGAAUACCGGUGGCGAAGGCGGCCCCCUGGACGAAGACUGACGCUCAGGUGCGAAAGCGUGGGGAGCAAACAGGAUUAGAUACCCUGGUAGUCCACGCCGUAAACGAUGUCGACUUGGAGGUUGUGCCCUUGAGGCGUGGCUUCCGGAGCUAACGCGUUAAGUCGACCGCCUGGGGAGUACGGCCGCAAGGUUAAAACUCAAAUGAAUUGACGGGGGCCCGCACAAGCGGUGGAGCAUGUGGUUUAAUUCGAUGCAACGCGAAGAACCUUACCUGGUCUUGACAUCCACAGAACUUUCCAGAGAUGGAUUGGUGCCUUCGGGAACUGUGAGACAGGUGCUGCAUGGCUGUCGUCAGCUCGUGUUGUGAAAUGUUGGGUUAAGUCCCGCAACGAGCGCAACCCUUAUCCUUUGUUGCCAGCGGUCCGGCCGGGAACUCAAAGGAGACUGCCAGUGAUAAACUGGAGGAAGGUGGGGAUGACGUCAAGUCAUCAUGGCCCUUACGACCAGGGCUACACACGUGCUACAAUGGCGCAUACAAAGAGAAGCGACCUCGCGAGAGCAAGCGGACCUCAUAAAGUGCGUCGUAGUCCGGAUUGGAGUCUGCAACUCGACUCCAUGAAGUCGGAAUCGCUAGUAAUCGUGGAUCAGAAUGCCACGGUGAAUACGUUCCCGGGCCUUGCACUCACCGCCCGUCA